This 717-nucleotide long non-coding RNA is filed under the name Ictidomys tridecemlineatus (thirteen-lined ground squirrel). Its description in RNAcentral is "lncRNA (ENSSTOG00000027756.2)". The record is from RNAcentral. Lineage: Eukaryota; Metazoa; Chordata; Mammalia; Rodentia; Sciuridae.
CAGCGCUCCAGCUGCGGCUGUCUGGUUCCAAUACCGCCAGCUCGGCAGACGGGGGUUGGACUGGGUGCCAGCCUCUGGUAGUGUCGGGCACACGCGGAGCAACAGGAUACCAAAGAAAGGAAGAAAGAGCAGCAGAGAGGCCGGGAGAGAGGAAGGGUUCCUGCAGUGCGUGCUCUCCCCUGGGCUAAAUUCUGCAGGGCCACUGGGCGGGCAUGAACCGCUGUCAAGGUCGCAGGCCUCUUAUGUAAGGAGCUGAAGGGGAAAUAAAAUAUACAGGAUGAAAAGAUGGCAACAUUGCCACCCCCAGGACCUCAGAGCUUUGUCCACUUCACAAAACAGUCCCUUGCCCUCAUUGAACAACGCAUUGCUGAAGAAAAAGCAAAGGAACCCAAAGAAGAAAAGAAAGAUGAGGAGGAGGAUGGUCCAAAGCCAAGCAGUGACUUGGAAGCCGGCAAGCAGUUGCCCUUCAUUUAUGGAGACAUUCCACCCGGCAUGGUGUCAGAGCCCCUGGAGGACCUGGACCCGUACUAUGCAGACAAAAAGACUUUUAUAGUAUUGAACAAAGGGAAAGCAAUCUUCCGUUUCAAUGCCGCACCUGCUUUAUACAUACUGUCUCCUUUCAGUCGUCUGAGAAGAAUAUCUAUUAAGAUUUUAGUACACUCAUAUCCUUUCCAAAAUAUAUACUUGAAAGAUAUUGGAGAGCAAAGUUUUUACUAC